CUUGGAAGAGCUGGGGCAGAGAGAGAAACAACAGCUUCUUUGUCUGGUUCUCUCAGAAGCCAACUCUGAGGCAAGGAUUCCUAGGAAAGACUAUCUUAAGAGUGAGAGGUGGAAUUUUAUUAUCUAUGGAGGAAGGAAUCUUCCUAGUGACUGAGUCCUGUCUUCUUCCUUCAAUGAGAAAGACAGCUGUGAUUGAUUAGUGAUGUCUGCCUUGGCCCAGGAUGGGAGACAACAGUACCUAUACUGCACAUUGUACAUCCCUGACCUCAGGAAACCUCAGCAGUCAGAAGGAGUUCAAGCAAUGUGGGACUGCUCUAUUUGCUCCCUUGACUGUGAGUGAUUUAAAGAUACUGGGUCUUGCUCCUUCACCCAAACUGGAGUGCAGUGGCACGAUCGAUCACAGCUCACCGCAGCCUUGAACUCCUAGGGCUGACACCAUCCUCCCGCCUGAGCCUCCUGAGUGGCUGGAACUACAGGAGUGCACCACCAUGCACCUAAUUGGUAUUUUAAAUGAUAACAACCACACGAAUAAUAUUAACAAUAAUGAUGAUGGUGAUAAUGACAGCUGCCACUUAUAUCCAUGGGCCAAGCAUUGUGCCACGCAUUUUGCUUACAUCUUCACACAAAAUCUACCAGGGAGGGAGUGUCUUUAACUGUCAUUUUACAGAUGGGGAAACUGAGGCUCUUAUGGGGAAGCCACUGGCCUGAGGUCAAGCACUGGAAUGUGACUGAGCCAAAAUGUGGCAGCAGAUCUGACUAUCGGCCUUUGUGGUUCACGAUUAUUGCCUCCAUUACAGUGCUGCCUGUGUGCUGGUUCUCGCAUGACAGGGAGGGUUGUGAGUAGACAGAGGGGUUGCAGCAGGACUGGCCCCUACCGUGUCAAAAGGGACAGGUCACAGGCUGAGCAGGAUGGGGCGGCAGGGGCAGGCUGCCUCCCCACACGCAGAGGUCCCACCCCAGCUCCCUACCAGCAGCAGACUGGGAGCCCUAGUGUGCCCAGCGCCCCCAUGAUUGGCAGCCUGCAGAUGGCAGGGGUGCCUUGGAAUUUAUUAUCCAAGCAUGCCUUUCCGAGGGGGCCUCACUGCCUGACACUGCUUUAUCGGAAAGCUGGGAAUGGUUAGCUGAGCCCAUCUGUUAGCCAAAGAGGGGAACUCAGUGGGUGGGGAAGUCUGUGGAGUCAUUUAAAAGGAAUUUCUCUGAUGCUGAGGCCAGGGCAGAAGGUUAUCUGCCCGUGGGCCGUUGGGCUGCCUGGUUUGGGGUAUUGGGGGCUUGGGGGUGGUGUGUGUGUGUUUGGUGGGGGACUCUCGUUGCUUGUUCUAAACCAAAAAUUGCUAGAGCCCUUCCCCCUUCUGAACAACAAUUUGAACUCUGCAGUGCUCUUUCAUUGCUGAAACCACCACAUUAGCAUCGUCAGUGUCUUGGUGACGAAUCUAGGACAGAUGGGGAUAAAUGCAGUGAUCUGAAUUAAUACUGGGGUGGCUAAUGAAUCCAGGAGCCAGGAAAUAAUUAGGAGAAGUUACUGCUCCUGACAUGGCAAAUAGAAGCUGUGUGUUAGAUGCCUUCUUCUCUCUCCCCUCCCACCAACCAAGAUGCCCCGGAAGACAGCUGUGCAGCCACCUGGGGUGGGGGACACUUGGAUGUCAGGACUUGAUCUUGGGUGAGGAUUCUGGGACAUUUAUGACAGAGGCUGGUGAACAGCAGGUGGAGACAGGAGAAUGGCGGUUCUUCCAUUGUAUAUCAAAGGUUCUUCUGUGCUUGGAAAAAGCACUGGACUGGGAGCCCAGAGGCCUGGGUUCAAGUGCAGGCUCCUACUGGAUCAUCCUAAGGCAUGUGGUUCCCUCCUCCAAUGCUCAAUGAAAGUAGAGCAUGAUCGAGGGUAGCAUGCACUGUUUGCUGCCCAGGGGCAGGCCCAUGCUAAAUGAUUUGCAUAGGGCUCUCAUUUAAUCUUCCCCCACAGCUCUAGUACUCUGUUUGUUCUCACUCUACCAAGUCCAAUUGUUUCAAUAGCUCAUUCAAGGGCAUGCAGUUGAUAGCAGAGCUGGAUUCAAACCCAGAAAUCAACUCAAAGGUCUGAGCCCUUGACCAUACCAUGUCACUGCCUUUUGCCACCAAGAGCCAGAUAAUCAUUGAUGUUUCUUCCAACACUGACAUAUUUUUAGGCCUUCAUGAUUCUUGUAGAUAUCUUGUAGAUAUCUGCUUUGCAAUAUGGGGAGUGAAAGGGAGUUGAGCUAUGCUUUUGUAAUUGGGUGUCUGAAAAGGCUGGGCCCCUAUUAUAUAUGAUCAUACGCUUUAUUCUUCCUUUCUAAAACUUAGCAUGUUUGCAAUUGAAUAAUUAAGUGUUUAUUGUUUAAUGGUUAUCUACCCUGCUAGACUGAGGCUCCAAAAAGAUCUCAUCUAUUUUGCUCACUGUUAUGUCCCCAGUGCAGAGAAGAGUGGAUGAUAUGUUGUGUUCGAAUUGAUAUCAUUUGACUGUGUCCCCACACAAAUCUCAUCUUGAAUUGUAGCUCCCACAAUUCCCAUGUGACAUAGGAGGGACCCGGUGGGAGAUAAUAGAAUCAUGGGGGUGGUUUCCCCCAUACUGUUCUCAUGGUAGUGAAUAAGUCUCAUGAGAGCUGAUGGUUUUAUAAGGGGUUUUCCCUUUCACUUGGCUCUCACUCUUUCUUGCCUGCCACCAUGUAAAACGUGCCUUUUGCCUUUUUCCAUGAUUAUGAGGCCUCCCCAGCCACAUGGAACUGAGAGUCCAUUAAACUCCUUUUUCU
RNAcentral lists this long non-coding RNA (2759 nucleotides) under Homo sapiens (human). Its description in RNAcentral is "HSALNT0276477". The record is from RNAcentral. Lineage: Eukaryota; Metazoa; Chordata; Mammalia; Primates; Hominidae.